Long non-coding RNA from Felis catus (domestic cat), 942 nucleotides. RefSeq lists it as uncharacterized. The record is from RefSeq and is a predicted model, not a curated record. Lineage: Eukaryota; Metazoa; Chordata; Mammalia; Carnivora; Felidae. The transcript has 4 exons.
GCCAACAGAAGCUUGAUUGAUAAUCAAGACAAUCAGACCUUGAGAAUGAGAUGGUUACAAACAAAUUUUUUCCAAAUAGUUUUUCUGUGUCAUGUCCUAGGCUUUAGAAAUUCAAAAACUGAGAACUGACUCUAGUUCUCUGCAUUAUGAUGUCAUCUGUUCUUGGAGGUAAUGAACAUAGAACACCCUUGCUGCUGCCAAAACAAGGAGGGGGCAGUUGGUGGGCUAGGUGGCAGAAAUAGACAACAGGAGAGAUAAGGCAAAAGCUAAUAGAAUUGCAGAAACAUUGGCCUUGAUAUUGCUUAACCGCUGAACCGAUACCAGCAAAUGCCCAUCUCUGGACUUCUUUUCAAGUAAAGAAAAACAGCAGCAACAACAACUUGCACUCUCUUUUUAAGACACUGAAUUUAAUUUUUUGUUUGUUAUUUCUAGAACUACUCCUAACAGACAUGAAAUGAAAUCAUUCUGCGUUUUUGCAAUAUGACCAGUGUUCUUCUAGCAUGAGGACAUCAUCUGCACUCAAUGAUUACAGCGUGAGGACUGGAUGUCAGAUCCCACAAGUUUCCCUUCUGGUUUGAUUACACCACAUCAUCCUGAUCAUGUUGCUGCUCACUUCUCCCACCUGUAAGAUGAGGAAGAAAAAUAGAGUGACAGGAAGUUGUGCACUGAGGGCCCCAGAAUUUUCACUUCUUCUGGGCACAGAACUCCCUUUUGAAUGAGAUGGGUGCAAGAACACUAUUCUGCCUGGAAUCGUUUCUUCUUCCGUAUGUUAGUAACCAGUUUCAAUACAUUUUGAUAUUUUAUUGGCAUAUUUCACCUCUGGAAAGUUUUUCUGGACUAAAUGCAAAGAAGAUAUACUGAAGUCUAAUUCAUCUAUCAAGUCAAGAAUCUACUCUUAAUUUAAAAAGAAAAAAAGAAAGAAAAAAUCACAAUUAGAGCAAA